RNAcentral lists this unclassified non-coding RNA (240 nucleotides) under soil metagenome. RNAcentral describes it as "partial contains 5.8S ribosomal RNA, internal transcribed spacer 2, and large subunit ribosomal RNA". The record is from RNAcentral.
AACAUCGCGCACCUGCGGGAACCUGCGGAGGGAUCAUUAUCGUGGCGCUUUUGCGCCGUCGAGAUAACACCCUUGCCUUUAUGAGUACCUUGGUUCCCUCCCCCGACCUCCGGGGAGCGGGAGGGACCUCGUCUGUUUCCCCGCGAGGGGACCUACCUACAAACACGCUGUAAUCACCUGUAACCGUCUGAUAAAACAAACAAAAAAUCAAAACUUUCAACAACGGAUCUCAGAUCGGAA